RNAcentral lists this ribosomal RNA (2292 nucleotides) under Proteus mirabilis. RNAcentral's name for it is "partial 23S ribosomal RNA". It matches the Rfam family "Bacterial large subunit ribosomal RNA", at positions 657 to 2925 of the family's 2925-position model. Lineage: Bacteria; Pseudomonadati; Pseudomonadota; Gammaproteobacteria; Enterobacterales; Morganellaceae. The record is from RNAcentral.
AUAGGGGAGCCGUAGGGAAACCGAGUCUUAACUGGGCGAAUGAGUUGCAGGGUAUAGACCCGAAACCCGGUGAUCUAUCCAUGGGCAGGUUGAAGGUUGGGUAACACUAACUGGAGGACCGAACCGACUAAUGUUGAAAAAUUAGCGGAUGACUUGUGGAUGGGGGUGAAAGGCCAAUCAAACCGGGAGAUAGCUGGUUCUCCCCGAAAGCUAUUUAGGUAGCGCCUCGUGAACUCAUCUUCGGGGGUAGAGCACUGUUUCGACUAGGGGGUCAUCCCGACUUACCAACUCGAUGCAAACUGCGAAUACCGAAGAAUGUUAUCACGGGAGACACACGGCGGGUGCUAACGUCCGUCGUGAAGAGGGAAACAACCCAGACCGCCAGCUAAGGUCCCAAAGUCAUGGUUAAGUGGGAAACGAAGUGGGAAGGCUCAGACAGCCAGGAUGUUGGCUUAGAAGCAGCCAUCAUUUAAAGAAAGCGUAAUAGCUCACUGGUCGAGUCGGCCCGCGCGGAAGAUGUAACGGGGCUAAACCAUGCACCGAAGCUGCGGCAGCGACACAAAGUGUUGUUGGGUAGGGGAGCGUUCUGUAAGCCUGCGAAGGUGUACUGUGAGGUAUGCUGGAGGUAUCAGAAGUGCGAAUGCUGACAUAAGUAACGAUAAUGCGGGUGAAAAACCCGCACGCCGGAAGACCAAGGGUUCCUGUCCAACGUUAAUCGGGGCAGGGUGAGUCGACCCCUAAGGCGAGGCUGAAAAGCGUAGUCGAUGGGAAACGGGUUAAUAUUCCCGUACUGGUGGUAACUGCGAUGGGGGAACGGAGAAGGCUAGGUUGUCCGGGCGACGGUCGUCCCGGUUCAAGCAGGUAGGCAGAGUGAUUAGGCAAAUCCGGUCACUUAAUGCUGAGAUGUGAUGACGAACCACCAAGGUGGUGAAGCAAUUGAUGCCCCGCUUCCAGGAAAAGCCUCUAAGCUUCAGGUUACCAACAAUCGUACCCCAAACCGACACAGGUGGUCAGGUAGAGAAUACUCAGGCGCUUGAGAGAACUCGGGUGAAGGAACUAGGCAAAAUGGUGCCGUAACUUCGGGAGAAGGCACGCUGGCGGUAGGUAAAGUCCCUCGCGGACGGCGCUGAAGCCAGUCGAAGAUACCAGCUGGCUGCAACUGUUUAUUAAAAACACAGCACUGUGCAAACACGAAAGUGGACGUAUACGGUGUGACGCCUGCCCGGUGCUGGAAGGUUAAUUGAUGGGGUCAGCCGUAAGGCGAAGCUCCUGAUCGAAGCCCCAGUAAACGGCGGCCGUAACUAUAACGGUCCUAAGGUAGCGAAAUUCCUUGUCGGGUAAGUUCCGACCUGCACGAAUGGCGUAAUGAUGGCCAGGCUGUCUCCACCCGAGACUCAGUGAAAUUGAACUCGCUGUGAAGAUGCAGUGUACCCGCGGCAAGACGGAAAGACCCCGUGAACCUUUACUAUAGCUUGACACUGAACAUUGAGCCUUGAUGUGUAGGAUAGGUGGGAGGCUUUGAAGUGUGGACGCCAGUCUGCAUGGAGCCAACCUUGAAAUACCACCCUUUAACGUUUGAUGUUCUAACCUAGGCCCAUAAACUGGGUCGGGGACCGUGUCUGGUGGGUAGUUUGACUGGGGCGGUCUCCUCCUAAAGAGUAACGGAGGAGCACGAAGGUUGGCUAAGCAUGGUCGGACAUCAUGCGGUUAGUGCAAAGGCAUAAGCCAGCUUGACUGCGAGAGUGACGGCUCGAGCAGGUACGAAAGUAGGUCUUAGUGAUCCGGUGGUUCUGAAUGGAAGGGCCAUCGCUCAACGGAUAAAAGGUACUCCGGGGAUAACAGGCUGAUACCGCCCAAGAGUUCAUAUCGACGGCGGUGUUUGGCACCUCGAUGUCGGCUCAUCACAUCCUGGGGCUGAAGUAGGUCCCAAGGGUAUGGCUGUUCGCCAUUUAAAGUGGUACGCGAGCUGGGUUUAGAACGUCGUGAGACAGUUCGGUCCCUAUCUGCCGUGGGCGUUGGAAGAUUGAGAGGGGUUGCUCCUAGUACGAGAGGACCGGAGUGAACGCACCACUGGUGUUCGGGUUGUCAUGCCAAUGGCAUUGCCCGGUAGCUAAGUGCGGAAGAGAUAACCGCUGAAAGCAUCUAAGCGGGAAACUUGCCUCGAGAUGAGUCUUCCCUGUCGCUUUAAGUGACCUAAAGGAACGUUUAAGACUAAGACGUUGAUAGGCUGGGUGUGUAAGCGUAGCGAUACGUUGAGCUAACCAGUACUAAUGAACCGUGAGGCUUAACCUG